This 468-nucleotide ribosomal RNA is filed under the name uncultured bacterium. RNAcentral describes it as "partial 16S ribosomal RNA". It matches the Rfam family "Bacterial small subunit ribosomal RNA", at positions 28 to 507 of the family's 1533-position model. The record is from RNAcentral.
GACGAACGCUGGCGGCGUGCUUAACACAUGCAAGUCGAACGGAAAGGCCCGGCUUUUGCGGGGUGCUCGAGUGGCGAACGGGUGAGUAACACGUGAGUAACCUGCCCUUGACUGUGGGAUAACUUCAGGAAACUGGGGCUAAUACCGGAUAGGAGCUCUUGCAGCAUGGUGGGGGUUGGAAAGUUUCGGCGGUUGGGGAUGGACUCGCGGCUUAUCAGCUUGUUGGUGGGGUAGUGGCUUACCAAGGCUUUGACGGGUAGCCGGCCUGAGAGGGUGACCGGCGACAUUGCGACUGAGAUACGGCGCAGACUCCUACGGGAGGCAACAGUGGGGAAUAUUGCACAAUGGGCGGAAGCCUGAUGCAGCAGCGCCGCGUGCGGGAUGACGGCCUUCGGGUUGUGAACCGCUUUCGCCUGUGACGAAGCGUGAGUGACGGUAAUGGGUAAAGAAGCACCGGCUAACUACGUG